Molecule: ribosomal RNA, 651 nt
Filed under: uncultured beta proteobacterium
Lineage: Bacteria; Pseudomonadati; Pseudomonadota; Betaproteobacteria
Description: bacterial SSU rRNA
Rfam family: Bacterial small subunit ribosomal RNA
Source: RNAcentral
GCUUGCACCUGGUGGCGAGUGGCGAACGGGUGAGUAAUACAUCGGAACAUGUCCUGUAGUGGGGGAUAGCCCGGCGAAAGCCGGAUUAAUACCGCAUACGAUCUACGGAUGAAAGCGGGGGACCUUCGGGCCUCGCGCUAUAGGGUUGGCCGAUGGCUGAUUAGCUAGUUGGUGGGGUAAAGGCCUACCAAGGCGACGAUCAGUAGCUGGUCUGAGAGGACGACCAGCCACACUGGGACUGAGACACGGCCCAGACUCCUACGGGAGGCAGCAGUGGGGAAUUUUGGACAAUGGGCGAAAGCCUGAUCCAGCAAUGCCGCGUGUGUGAAGAAGGCCUUCGGGUUGUAAAGCACUUUUGUCCGGAAAGAAAUCCUUGGUUCUAAUAUAGCCGGGGGAUGACGGUACCGGAAGAAUAAGCACCGGCUAACUACGUGCCAGCAGCCGCGGUAAUACGUAGGGUGCGAGCGUUAAUCGGAAUUACUGGGCGUAAAGCGUGCGCAGGCGGUUUGCUAAGACCGAUGUGAAAUCCCCGGGCUCAACCUGGGAACUGCAUUGGUGACUGGCAGGCUAGAGUAUGGCAGAGGGGGGUAGAAUUCCACGUGUAGCAGUGAAAUGCGUAGAGAUGUGGAGGAAUACCGAUGGCGAAGGCAG